Dunckerocampus dactyliophorus (ringed pipefish) is the source of this 6830-nucleotide RNA transcript. It is a transcript of the gene named ring finger protein 103, with no coding region annotated. The record is from RefSeq and is a predicted model, not a curated record. The transcript has 6 exons. NCBI's taxonomy places the organism in Eukaryota, Metazoa, Chordata, Actinopteri, Syngnathiformes, Syngnathidae.
UGACGUCACAUUUCCAACGCCAGCUCAUCAGAGCAAUGUGGUAUCUGUAAUCGUACUGAGUUUAUCGAACAGCUUUGGACCUUCUGUGUCGAUCCCACUGCUGCAUCUGUCACGUGACACUGCCGAUUUGUUUUGGUUGUUACAUCAGCUGGGCCUGAAAUGAUCUGGCGUGCUAAACUAAUUGGCUAGCUGUUGACAGCGAACAGGCUUCGUGCUGCAGUGACUGCUGGCCAGGGAAUAUCGAGGCAUAGUUGUCUUGAAGCUAAUAUUCCACUGCUCAAAGGAGGAAUUGUAGCUCAUGUCUGGAAGUCUACGCGAUUUGACAGCGGAAUUGUCUAGCUUUCAGCGCCAUCGUCGUCCAUCUGUGCGAUGUGGCUCAAGUUGUUUUUUUUGCUCCUGUAUUUCAUCGUGUUGUUUAUGCUAGCGAGGAUAUUUGAAGCGGUAGUUUGGUAUGAGACUGGCGUGUUCGCAACACAGCUAGUCGACCCUGUGUCUCUCAGCUACAAGAAACUCAAGACCAUCCUGGAGUGUCGAGGGCUGGCAUACACUGGGCUGGCUGAGAAGAAGGAUGUCAGCCAGCUGGUGGAGAAAUCAGGAGAGCUGACACAUGGAGAGCUGUACUCUGCCAUCAAGAAAGAGAAGGAGCAAACAGAGGCAGAAGAAGUCAGCAGCACACACUUCAGUGGAGAGACUCACUUCUAUGAAUUAGUGGAGGACACUAAAGAUGGGAUCUGGUUGGUUCAGGUCAUUGCCCAGGACCGAGAAGCUCUGCUCGAUAAGUCAAACUGGGGGAAGAUGGUGCAGAAGGUAUCUCAGUUUGGAAUUCGAACUGGAACAUUUAACUGCUCUCAUGACAAAAGGUUGUGUAUCAGACGUGGCUGGGAACGUUCUACUCUCAUCAUGUCAGUUCCACAGACUUCUGCCUCGAAGGGCAAAGUGAUGCUGAAAGAAUACAAUGGACGCCGCAUUGAAACCGAACAUAUCUUCCGCUGGAUGACCUCACAUAUGUCUCACCGCAUCAAGACACUGUGUGAUACUGAGAAACUACUGGAGGAAUGGCACCCUGACCCACUUCACCCAUUAAAGAUGUUUCUUUUUGCCCCCUUGCCCCAGCCGCCAGUCUUCUUCUCAUCACUCUCUGUUAAGUUCACUGGCAGGAUUGAGUUCAUCUUUGUGGAUGUACGUCACUGGGACAACCAGAGCAGUCUAUUAGAGAUUGGUGUGACACAGAGCGCUGCCUACAUCUUGAAGAUGCCAGAGGGGCUCUAUCAUUAUGGCAAUAGUACUGGCGAGUUCUUGUCUGUAGCAGCCAUGGACACCUUUCUACGUUCAGUUCAGCCAGAGGUCAAUGACCUUUUUGUCCUCAGUCUUGUUCUGAUCAACUUGUUAGCGUGGAUGGACCUCUUCAUUACACAGGUCAAGUUCUACUCCUCUACAUUUGGUUGUCUGUCUGUCGGGAUAUUUUAUACUGUAUAUACCCUCCUGAUCAAAAUCAGUUGAAAAAUUGCAAGAAUUUACAUUUUGCACUGUUUAAUCUUAAGGGGGAUCUAACUAGAGCUUCAAAAUGCAAAAAGAAGAAAUGGGAGUGAGACAAAAAAACAUUUUGAGUAAGCAAUUUAUUGCAAACAAGCAUUAAAAUGAAAUAGGCUCAUCAGCUGAUCAAAAGUUUAAUAUCACAGCCUAUAAAAGCCAAAAUCUUGACAAAAAUGUGGAUUCAAUGUCAUUUUCUGUUAUGUAUUCACACUGUCAUGAUCUCUUGAUAGCAAAGGCAAAAAGGUUUCUCCCUUUGAACGCAGUCGGAUUGUUGAGCUGCGUAAGCAAGACCUCUUGCAGCGUGCCAUUGCUGCAGAGAUUGGACGCAGUAAGACAGUUAUUUGAAACUUCUUCAAACAUCCUGAUGGGUGUGUCUUUGGCCGUGAGCUGGAGGAUCCGAUUGGCUGUCCGUCAAGACACAGGACCAUCCUCGUCCAAUAACCAUCAGACGGUAUCUGCAAGUGAAGGGUUUUAAGAAAACCCUUGUCUUCAUGUCUCCUUGAAUGCCACAAAAUUGCCUGUUUGGAAUUUGCACAAGAGCACCACACAAGUUUUAUUCUCUGUUGAAAAAAAAAAAAAAAAAAAAAAGAAACCUUGACGGCCCUGAUGGCUUCCAAUGUUACUGGCCUGACGAGGUGAUCCCACUUGAGAUGUUUUCCACACAGCACAGUGGAGGGGGCGCCAUAAUGAACCUCCAGUGGAAUAAUGGAUCUUCAGGUUGUACAGGGGCGCCAAACAGCAGCCAGCUAUGUGGAGAUGUUGGGCAUCCCUCAUGACUGAAGGCUGUGUGAUAAUGACUGGCUUUUUCAACAGGACAACGCUGCACUUCACAAUGCCCGCAUUGCAGCGGAAUAAGCUCACUCUUUUGGACCGUCCUGCGUGUUCUGAUCUAAAUCCAAUUACAAAUAUUUGGGGAUGUAUGGCAAAGGAAGUUUACAAAAAUGGACAUCAGUUCCAGACAGGGGAUAGCUUCCGUGAAGCCAUCUUCACCACCUGGAGCAACAUUCCCACUAACCUGGAAACACUGGCAUCAAGCAUACCCAAACCAAUUGUUUAGAUGAUUAACAAGGAUGGCGCAGCUACUCAUUACUGAGUCCAUUUUUGAACAUUUUAUUUCCAUUUUAGGGGGGUUUCAGGGUUGUUGUUUUUUUUAGCUAUAGUCUUAAACUUUUAAUCACCUGAUGAACAGCCUAUUUCACUUUAAUGCUUGUUUGCAAUAAAUUGCUGACUUUUUUUUUUUUUGUCUACUCCCAUUUUGAAGGUCUACUUAGGAACACCAUUAAGCUCCAACUGUGCAAAAUGUACAUUUUUGCAAUUUUUCAACUGAUCUUAAGAUUUUGAUCAGGAGUGUAUGUUAUACAGUGGUGUGGAAAAAGUGUUUGCCCCCUUCCUGAUUUAUUUUAUUUUAUCUUUUUGCUAUUUUGUUUGUCACACUUGAAUGUUUCGGAUCAUCAAACAAAUUUAAAUAUUAGUCAGUGACAGCACAACUGAACACAAAAUGCAAUUUUUAAAUGAAACGUUUUAUUAUUAAGGGAGGAAAAAAUCCAAACUUACAUGGCCCUGUGUGAAAAAGUGAUUGCCCCCACCCUGUUAAAACAUAACUUAACUGAGAUUAAUUGAGAUCUGUCAGUCUGGAAAAGGUUAGAAAGCCAUUUCAAAAGCUUUGGGACUCCAGCGAACCCCAGUGAGAGCCAUUAUUCACAAAUGACGAAACCUGAAACUGUGGUGAACCUUGCCAGAAGUGGCCCUCCAACCACAAUUACCCCAAGAGCACAGCGACGACUCAUCCAAGAGGUUACAAAACACCCCCCAACAACAUCCAAAGAACUGCAGGCCUCACUUGCCUUAGUUAAGGUCAGUGUUCAUGACGCCACCAUAAGAAAGACACUGGGCAAAAACGGGUUGCAUGGCAGGGUUCCAAGACGAAAACCACUGCUGAACAGAAAGAACAUUAAGGCUUGUCUCAAUUUUGCCAGAAAAAACAUCUUGAUGAACUCCAAGAGCUUUGGGAAAAUACUCUGAGACAAAAGUUGAACCUUUUGGAAGGUGUGUGUCCCACUACAUCUGCUGUAAAAGCAACGCCGCAUUUCAGAAAAAGAACAUCAUACCAGUAGUAAAAUAUGGUGGUGGCAGUGUGAUGGUCUGGGGCUGUUUUGCUGCUUCAGGACCUGGAAGACUUGCUGUGAUAAAUGGAACCAUGAAUUCUGCUGUCUACCAAAAAAUCCUGAAGGAGAAUGUCCGGCCAUCUAUUGGUGACCUCAAGCUGAAACCAACUUGGGUUCUGCAGCAGGACAAUGAUCCAAAACACACCAGCAAUUCCACCUCUGAAUGACUGAAGAAAAACAAAAUUGAGAUAUUGCUCCUCUACAGAUACCUUUGGUUUGCACAUGUGGACGUGUACGCUAAUACAAAUAUGCACACAUGCAGCGUGCUCUGAGUGUACUACAACUUCAACUCCACAGCUUCCAUAAUAGAAAGCGCUAGAAAGACUCUAAAUUAGUCCCAAGAGUCAAAAUAAAGACUUACCAUUUAGCGAUCGCUCCGCUGCACAUGAUAGAGUGCAGAUGAGAAAAGCAGAAAUGUUACACCGUCGUCAGUUUUACUGUACUUUUUGCAUGCUUAUUGCACGAUCCCUCAACACUUUCAACAUCUAAGAAUUGUGCUGUGUGAUAAAAUGGUACAUUUUAGAGUGGGCUUUUCCUGUGGCCGGACCUGUGCAAUUAUAUGCCACACCUGUGAGGUGGUUGGAUUGUCUCAGCAAAGGAGAAGUGCUCACUAACACAGAUGUAGACACAUAAGUCAACAAUCUUUAAGGGAAAUAAACCUUUCGUGCACAUAGAGAAAGUUUUAAUCUUGAGUUCAAAGAUGGGAGCAAAAAACAAAAGUGAAAUUACAAAACUCUCACAGUAUACAUAGCUGCUAGGUCGCUGGUCGUCUGAAAGUGACAGUAAUAACUCAGCGGUGUGGUGGUCUUAUUAUUAACAUAGAAAGGUUGCUAGUACUUUGGCUUUUAUGUUUGUGUAACUGUUUCAUUUCAACUAAAUUCAGUUUUUGAGUUUAGUGUUUUAUUACUGUAUUUCAUAUGCUUUGUGAGUUCUGUGUACAGUGUAACUUUAUUUCACUAAUUUAAUUUAGCUAUAAUUUAAGUGUAAGAGCCGACUUACAUCAAAGCUCAACUUACAUCACAUUCUAGGAACGGAAGUCAUACAGAACCCGAGGACUAACUACAUAGUUUUAGUAUUGCUGACGUCAUAUCCAGUUGCAGUCGUCUCAGGUUCAAGUAGAUGGGGGCAAGACGUCAUGGGAAAUCAGAGCGAAAAUGCAGAAAUCUUUGAAAUAGGAUUUUGCAAAAGGUUAAUCCUAAAAUAGUCCAUAAUAAAGGGGAAACGAGUUCAAGAAACAACCAAAAAUAUUAUACUAAAACCAAAGUUAAAAUAUUGUUUGAACUGGAAAAUGCUAUAAAUCCAAUUUAUGACAGCAAAAAAAAUGCUUGUCAGCAACAAAGCAAGACUUUAAAAUAUCUGCCAAGACUAUAAUCAACUCAUCUUAACAAAAAAAGGAGGCUCGUCAUUGCUUGCCAUCUACCAAAAUCUGAACAUUUCCAUUCAGUACAGUACUUACCGAUGCAUCAAUCAGUCUAACAUUUCCUUUUUCGGCCGUAAAACCUGAUUCACGGUGCCUAGAUGUAAACUAGAUGUAAAGAUGUUAUGUCUCCCCAUACUUUUGUAAUUCUUUCAUUCCUUGUGAGCGUAUAAGUGAAAUGUCUACUUCAAUGAUGAUGUGAAAAUAGUUUACGUCGUCAGAAAAGUCUUUUUUUCUUUUUAAGAGUUCAUGCAUCCACUCCAUCUAUUUUUGGAUAUAUCUGGCCUGUAUAUCAUCCCCACUCUCAUGGAGUCGGAACCAUUUUACUUUGGGACUUGGGAAGACCACAUUGAGAAGGCAAUGACUGGGGUCGUGUACGUAGAAUCUUGGAUAAGUGACAGCCUCUUCACCUUCAGAUGUGGGGAACUCUGGUCACUCGAAGAAAUGUCUGACUUCUGACCUCUCAUGAGUCUCUCUACCAACUACUAGGGCUUAAUCUCCAAUCUAGCCCAUACCCCUAGGUUUUGCGUGUUCAUGAGAAUCAAGUGGUGUCCCAAAUAUCCUUAAAUCAAGGGGGCUAAGUGCUAUGGGGUGCCAGCCCUAGAAACCAAGUGUUGACGGGGACCAGACUGAAGAAUGAAGGGGAAGGCCGAGUUUACUCGGAUACCACACUCCAGCUGAAAGGACGACGGAGCGGAGACCGAAAGAAGCAUAUAAAUGAGAUGCAAAUGAUGAGCCAACUGAAGUCAGCCCUCUGCUACAUCACACAGCAUUCCAGGACCAUUCAAAAGCUGCAAACCCAUUAUGCACAAGUAAAAUGCAACAAAAUGCCAUUCUGUGCUUUCUUACAAAAGAAUCUGAGAGAGAGCUUCAACGACAGGAGGAGACCGAGGCCAAAACAAGGAGGUUUUUAAACCUCGAAAUAAUGCUUGAUUAGGUUUAUAAUUUGUUGAUGUUCAUUAAGUUUGUUAUAUUGUUAUUUCUAUUUUGAUACAUUUUCUUUUUUUAUAAAUGUUGUUACAGUGCUGGUUGUAAGCUGUUUAUUAGAGUUGUUUGUUGAUUUGCAAUAAAUGUCACAGUUUGUAAAUAUCUUUUUUUUUUUUAAGUGUUCAGCGGUUAGGCUAUAUAACAUUGAGAUAAUGUAGAAAUAUAUGCAUCUUACUUUAUGGCGAGAAAUAUUUAUUAUGAACUAUAAAAUGAUCUCAUCUGCCUAUGUCACAGCCAGGAAGCGGUGAUGGGUAAUGACGUAAUGAGAAUCAAGUGGUGUCCCAUUUCUUAGUGGUUUCUUCUCCUUGGCCCACGGUUUUAAGGGGUAUGGGUUAAACAAAGGGGCAAGGCUUAGGGGUGGAAUUGGGAUUCAGCCUAAGUCACAUUGUGCUUAAAGUUCAAAUAUUUCACGUCACACUUCUGAUUGAACAGCUUAUAUUAUUGGCAUGAAAAUUGUGAUUUAAAUUUUUAUGAUUACAAGUUUCAUUGGUUCAUUGACUCCCAACCACAUACACAUACAGUGCCAAAUGAACUACUGGUGCGUAACCCACACCCACCCCACACACGUAACACAACUCAACAUUGACUCAACAUUCCCCACAUCAGCAUGGAUUGGAACAUUGUAUACUUAUUGUAAAAUGCAGAGAGUAGAGAUCAAUAUUUUUUGUACUCAAUGACCAGUGUCCAUUUUAAAUAUAUUUAAUUUUCCAUCUUUUUUUCCACAUUUU